Molecule: ribosomal RNA, 229 nt
Filed under: uncultured bacterium
Lineage: Bacteria
Description: partial 16S ribosomal RNA
Rfam family: Bacterial small subunit ribosomal RNA
Source: RNAcentral
UACAGUGGCGUACGGGUGAGUAACACGUGGAUCAUCUACCCUCUUGUGGGGAAUACCGCUGGGAAACCGGCGACAAUACCGCAUAAGCUCGAAAGAGGAAAGCCGAAAGGCGCAGGAGGAGGAGUCCGCGGUCGAUUAGUUAGUUGGCAGGGUAAAAGCCUACCAAGACUGUGAUCGAUAGCCGGCCUGAGAGGGCACACGGCCACACUGGCACUGAAACACGGGCCAG